AUGAACGCUGGCGGCGUGCCUAAUACAUGCAAGUCGAGCGAACAGACGAGGAGCUUGCUCCUCUGACGUUAGCGGCGGACGGGUGAGUAACACGUGGAUAACCUACCUAUAAGACUGGGAUAACUUCGGGAAACCGGAGCUAAUACCGGAUAAUAUAUUGAACCGCAUGGUUCAAUAGUGAAAGACGGUUUUGCUGUCACUUAUAGAUGGAUCCGCGCCGCAUUAGCUAGUUGGUAAGGUAACGGCUUACCAAGGCGACGAUGCGUAGCCGACCUGAGAAGGUGAUCGGCCACACUGGAACUGAGACACGGUCCAGACUCCUACGGGAGGCAGCAGUAGGGAAUCUUCCGCAAUGGGCGAAAGCCUGACGGAGCAACGCCGCGUGAGUGAUGAAGGUCUUCGGAUCGUAAAACUCUGUUAUUAGGGAAGAACAAAUGUGUAAGUAACUAUGCACGUCUUGACGGUACCUAAUCAGAAAGCCACGGCUAACUACGUG
RNAcentral lists this ribosomal RNA (496 nucleotides) under uncultured bacterium. RNAcentral describes it as "partial 16S ribosomal RNA". It matches the Rfam family "Bacterial small subunit ribosomal RNA", at positions 29 to 507 of the family's 1533-position model. The record is from RNAcentral.